RNAcentral lists this long non-coding RNA (1156 nucleotides) under Monodelphis domestica (gray short-tailed opossum). RNAcentral's name for it is "lncRNA (ENSMODG00000046390.1)". Lineage: Eukaryota; Metazoa; Chordata; Mammalia; Didelphimorphia; Didelphidae. The record is from RNAcentral.
CUAUGUCUAUGAGGUCAUGAAGAGUUGGAUAUGACUGAACAACUCAGAGCAAUGACUUCAAAGUUCCAAUGAAGUAUUCAAUGACUUCAUUAAUGUAUGAGAUACUCAAGAAGUUGGAGUAGAGAAAAUGAGGAGUGAAGUGGAUGGUGGAGAGGGGAGUUAUAUCCAACAAAAUGUGCCCUUGAACUGUGUACUCAUAGAUUUGGAACUAGAAUGGCCCUUUCUGCUCAUUUCAUCUGAGCUCCCCACUUUAUAAGAUGAGGAUAUUGAACUUUAGAAAUAUUACUCAGUCAUUACUCACUCAGAGGUGUAGGUUACAUGGAGUUCCAGUGUGUCUGAAGGACACUCCUCAGUGUUAUGGCAAGAAAGUUCUGCAUACUGGUAACACUAGCUCAGUUUAUUUGCCUGCAUCUUUUGGGUAACAAUUAGACAAGGGGUCAGGAUAAAUAUUUUGAAUCCUGGCUCAGCUCAUUUGGGGCAACCUGGACAAGUCUGGAUCCUUCUGUGGUCUCCUGGAGUUCCCUCACUUAUAAAACAGGAUUAAUGAUAACAGUCUACCCAUUACAAAGGGUUAUUGAGAAAAUCAAAUGGCAUGACCAUGUGAAAAACAGAUUUUCUUCCCUGGAACAGCCUCCCUCACAUCGUGGGGAGCACCCUCAAUAGUGAAAUGGGAGCCCCAGGGCUUUGGUAGCUUUGGUAGCUUUGGAUGCUGCCACAGGAAGGAAGUGAAACCUGGCAGCCACCUGCAGAGGCUUCUUAAUGCAAACUUUUAUUGGCUGUACCGCCUUUCCUGACAUUGCUGCUGACACUGUCUUCAUCAACAUUCAUCUGUGAUUGUCAUCGCCUCCACGGUGAUAAAUCCUGCACAGGUACCCAAGGGUGUUCAGAAUACAACCAAUUUUCUCUGGGUUUCAUUCCCCCACAACUCUCCACACCACUGGACUGCAAAACCUAAUUGGGCUAUUGUCUGCUUCCCAAAACAAACUCAUUUUUCUCCACCGAACCAUCAGAGAUGCUGUCAAUCAACAUGAAACAUGUCAGAUUUUGAAAGGGGGUGGCAAGGCCUGUAAUCUCACAAGCAUUCCCAUGUAAACAAGUUCACCAUCAUUUGGGGAAUUAAAGAAAAUCACCUGCAUAUUUGAGUCUUUUUUUCCAU